Molecule: long non-coding RNA, 234 nt
Filed under: Lathyrus oleraceus (garden pea)
Lineage: Eukaryota; Viridiplantae; Streptophyta; Magnoliopsida; Fabales; Fabaceae
Description: Pisum sativum (pea) long non-coding RNA (PSAT_LNC011268)
Source: RNAcentral
UGUGGGUUUUGAAUGUGAGAAUUGAGUUUCUUCAUCCCAUUCAUGUCCAAACAAGGCUUAUUCAUCAUGUCAAGCAUCAACAUUGAAGAAUUUGAAGUCAAAGCAAAAGUUUCCAAAAUUGGAAAGUGACCUAUAAUUUCAAGUUUCCAAAAAUGGAAAGUUUUUGGUCCAACUUUAACUCAACUUUCCAACAUCAAAGAAGCUCCAAAUGAAUUUUUGUCCAACAUGAAAGUU